RNAcentral lists this unclassified non-coding RNA (376 nucleotides) under uncultured Actinomycetes bacterium. Its description in RNAcentral is "uncultured actinobacterium contains 16S-23S intergenic spacer region". The record is from RNAcentral. Lineage: Bacteria; Bacillati; Actinomycetota; Actinomycetes.
UUCGAGUUGACCCCGGCAGUCUCCUAUGAGUCCCCGCCAUCACGCGCUGGCAACAUAGAACGAGGGUUGCGCUCGUUGCGGGACUUAACCCAACAUCUCACGACACGAGCUGACGACAACCAUGCACCACCUGUGCAGGACCCUUGCGGACCUCCCAUCUCUGAGGCUUUCCGGCGUAUGUCAAACCCAGGUAAGGUUCUUCGCGUUGCAUCGAAUUAAUCCGCAUGCUCCGCCGCUUGUGCGGGCCCCCGUCAAUUCCUUUGAGUUUCAGCCUUGCGGCCGUACUCCCCAGGCGGGGCACUUACUGCGUUAGCGACGGCACCGGGAGGGUCGCUCCCCCCGACGCCUAGUGCCCAUCGUUUACGGCGUGGACUAC